GCUGGGAUAGCUCAGUAGGUAGUGCAUGAGAUUCUUAAUCUCAGGGUUGUGGGUUUGAGCCCCAUGUUGGGCA
Molecule: non-coding RNA, 73 nt
Organism: Podarcis lilfordi (Lilford's wall lizard)
Lineage: Eukaryota; Metazoa; Chordata; Lepidosauria; Squamata; Lacertidae
Source: the annotation of a GenBank genome assembly